UGAGCAUGUGUUAAUCGACGCAACGCGAAGACCUUACCUGGGCUUGACAUCCCGAUCGCACCUUAUGGAAACAUAGGGGUCAGUUCGGCUGGAUCGGUGACAGGUGCUGCAUGGCUGUGUCAGCUCGUGUCGUGAGAUGUUGGGUUAAGUCCCGCAACGAGCGCAACCCUUGUCCUUAGUUGCCAGCAUUCAGUUGGGCACUCUAAGGAGACUGCCGGUGUCAAACCGGAGGAAGUGGGGAUGACGUCAAGUCCUCAUGGCCCUUAUGUCCAGGGCUACACACGUGCUACAAUGGCCGGUACAAAGGGGCGCAAGACCGCGAGGUGGAGCAAAUCCCAAAAAACCGGUCUCAGUUCGGAUUGGAGUCUGCAACUCGACUCCAUGAAGUUGGAAUCGCUAGUAAUCGCGUAUCAGCAUGACCGCGGUCCGAAUACGUUCCGGCCUU
Molecule: ribosomal RNA, 445 nt
Filed under: uncultured Desulfuromonas sp.
Lineage: Bacteria; Pseudomonadati; Thermodesulfobacteriota; Desulfuromonadia; Desulfuromonadales; Desulfuromonadaceae
Description: bacterial SSU rRNA
Rfam family: Bacterial small subunit ribosomal RNA
Source: RNAcentral